AUUACCGAGUGCGGGUCCUUUGGGCCCAACCUCCCAUCCGUGUCUAUUAUACCCUGUUGCUUCGGCGGGCCCGCCGCUUGUCGGCCGCCGGGGGGGCGCCUUUGCCCCCCGGGCCCGUGCCCGCCGGAGACCCCAACACGAACACUGUCUGAAAGCGUGCAGUCUGAGUUGAUUGAAUGCAAUCAGUUAAAACUUUCAACAAUGGAUCUCUUGGUUCCGGCAUCGAUGAAGAACGCAGCGAAAUGCGAUAACUAAUGUGAAUUGCAGAAUUCAGUGAAUCAUCGAGUCUUUGAACGCACAUUGCGCCCCCUGGUAUUCCGGGGGGCAUGCCUGUCCGAGCGUCAUUGCUGCCCUCAAGCCCGGCUUGUGUGUUGGGUCGCCGUCCCCCUCUCCGGGGGGACGGGCCCGAAAGGCAGCGGCGGCACCGCGUCCGAUCCUCGAGCGUAUGGGGCUUUGUCACAUGCUCUGUAGGAUUGGCCGGCGCCUGCCGACGUUUUCCAACCAUUUUUUCCAGGUUGACCUCGGAUCAGGUAGGGAUACCCGCUGAACUUAAGCAUAUCAAUAAGCGGAGGAAAAGAAAACCAACCGGGAUUGCCUCAGUAACGGCGAGUGAAGCGGCAAGAGCUCAAAUUUGAA
RNAcentral lists this ribosomal RNA (636 nucleotides) under fungal sp. RNAcentral describes it as "eukaryotic LSU rRNA". The stretch from base 191 to 344 matches the Rfam family "5.8S ribosomal RNA". Lineage: Eukaryota; Fungi. The record is from RNAcentral.